ACGAACGCUGGCGGCAGGCUUAACACAUGCAAGUCGAGCGCCCCGCAAGGGGAGCGGCAGACGGGUGAGUAACGCGUGGGAAUCUACCGAGCCCUACGGAAUAACGCAUGGAAACGUGUGCUAAUACCGUAUACGCCCUACGGGGGAAAGAUUUAUCGGGGUUUGAUGAGCCCGCGUUGGAUUAGCUAGUUGGUGGGGUAAAGGCCUACCAAGGCGACGAUCCAUAGCUGGUCUGAGAGGAUGAUCAGCCACAUUGGGACUGAGACACGGCCCAAACUCCUACGGGAGGCAGCAGUGGGGAAUAUUGGACAAUGGGCGCAAGCCUGAUCCAGCCAUGCCGCGUGAGUGAUGAAGGUCUUAGGGUUGUAAAGCUCUUUUACCCGAGAUGAUAAUGACAGUAUCGGGAGAAUAAGCUCCGGCUAACUCCGU
RNAcentral lists this ribosomal RNA (429 nucleotides) under uncultured bacterium. RNAcentral describes it as "bacterial SSU rRNA". It matches the Rfam family "Bacterial small subunit ribosomal RNA", at positions 29 to 506 of the family's 1533-position model. The record is from RNAcentral.